This 89-nucleotide unclassified non-coding RNA is filed under the name Pseudomonas cedrina. The record is from RNAcentral. Lineage: Bacteria; Pseudomonadati; Pseudomonadota; Gammaproteobacteria; Pseudomonadales; Pseudomonadaceae.
UGUGGGAGCUGGCUUGCCUGCGAUAGCGGUGUGUCAGCUAAAAGCCAGUCAACUGACAGUCCGCUAUCGCAGGCAAGCCAGCUCCCACA